RNAcentral lists this ribosomal RNA (390 nucleotides) under Escherichia coli. Its description in RNAcentral is "bacterial SSU rRNA". It matches the Rfam family "Bacterial small subunit ribosomal RNA", at positions 581 to 970 of the family's 1533-position model. The record is from RNAcentral. Lineage: Bacteria; Pseudomonadati; Pseudomonadota; Gammaproteobacteria; Enterobacterales; Enterobacteriaceae.
UGUUAAGUCAGAUGUGAAAUCCCCGGGCUCAACCUGGGAACUGCAUCUGAUACUGGCAAGCUUGAGUCUCGUAGAGGGGGGUAGAAUUCCAGGUGUAGCGGUGAAAUGCGUAGAGAUCUGGAGGAAUACCGGUGGCGAAGGCGGCCCCCUGGACGAAGACUGACGCUCAGGUGCGAAAGCGUGGGGAGCAAACAGGAUUAGAUACCCUGGUAGUCCACGCCGUAAACGAUGUCGACUUGGAGGUUGUGCCCUUGAGGCGUGGCUUCCGGAGCUAACGCGUUAAGUCGACCGCCUGGGGAGUACGGCCGCAAGGUUAAAACUCAAAUGAAUUGACGGGGGCCCGCACAAGCGGUGGAGCAUGUGGUUUAAUUCGAUGCAACGCGAAGAACC